GAUGAACGCUAGCUCCAGGCUUAACACAUGCAAGUCGAGGGGCAGCAUGGUCUUAGCUUGCUAAGGCCGAUGGCGACCGGCGCACGGGUGAGUAACACGUAUCCAACCUGCCGUCUACUCUUGGACAGCCUUCUGAAAGGAAGAUUAAUACAAGAUGGCAUCAUGAGUCCGCAUGUUCACAUGAUUAAAGGUAUUCCGGUAGACGAUGGGGAUGCGUUCCAUUAGAUAGUAGGCGGGGUAACGGCCCACCUAGUCUUCGAUGGAUAGGGGUUCUGAGAGGAAGGUCCCCCACAUUGGAACUGAGACACGGUCCAAACUCCUACGGGAGGCAGCAGUGAGGAAUAUUGGUCAAUGGGCGAGAGCCUGAACCAGCCAAGUAGCGUGAAGGACGACUGCCCUAUGGGUUGUAAACUUCUUUUAUAAAGGAAUAAAGUCGGGUAUGGAUACCCGUUUGCAUGUACUUUAUGAAUAAGGAUCGGCUAACUCCGUG
This 490-nucleotide ribosomal RNA is filed under the name uncultured bacterium. RNAcentral describes it as "partial 16S ribosomal RNA". It matches the Rfam family "Bacterial small subunit ribosomal RNA", at positions 28 to 507 of the family's 1533-position model. The record is from RNAcentral.